CUUUUUCAAGGUUUUGUUGGUAGAGGUCUCAUACAGAGGAAGCAUAUUACCUAAUUGGUCUGAUCGUGAUUUAUGGUGCCUCAAAAACAUAUUAUCUAUUAUAUAAUAAAAAAAAAGAAGGUGUGAUGACAACCCUCUACUAGUCUGGGCAAAUGACAUAAACAUUAACAACUAAAGGUUACCGUACGGCCUUCAACAAUGAAAAAACCACACCGCAUAGUAAACUUUAAAAAUGUAAAUCAAUUCAAACGGCCUGAUUUAUGUGCAAAAUAAUCCAUGAAUAAAAAAAAGCGUGAUAUACAUCACCAAACGACAACCACAUAAUUACAGGCUCAUGUUUCUCUUUCAUGCAUUGAUUUUUGAAAAUGUAAAAUUUUUACUGAAAAUUGUAUUUUUAUUUUAUACUCCAACAUGCCAAAAUCGUUAUUAUUACCAUUUAAGUAUCAUUUAACUUAUGAAUAAGCACUACCGAAAGCUAAAUAUAAAAAAAGAAGAUGUGGUAUGAUUGCCAACGAGACAACUGUCCACAAGAGACCAAAAUGACAUAGACAUUAACAACUAUAGGUCACCCUACGGCCUUCAACAAUGAGCAAAGCCCGUACCGCAUAGUCAGCUAUAAAAGGCCCCUGAUAUGACAAUGUAAAACAAUUCAAACAAGAAAACUAACGGCCUUAUUUAUAUAAAAAAAUGAACGAAAAACAAAUAUGUAACACAUAAACAAACGACAACCACUGAAUUACAGGCUCCUGACUUUGGACAGGCACAUACAAAAACAAUGUGGCAGGGUUAAACAUGUUAGCGGGAUCCGAAUCCUCCCUCUAACCUGGGACAGUGGUAUAACAGUACAACAUAAGAACGAACUAUAAAAAUCAGUUGAAAAAGGCUUAACUCAUCAGAUGGACAAACAUAAAGACUGUAUUUGUGUAAAUAUAUCUUGGUUGUUUUUUUUGCAGGUUAGAUCUACAAGCGUUAAUGGUUAAAGUAAAUCACGAUGUCUCCGAGGAAAAUAUAGAUAUAGUGAAAGGAGAACAAGCUAAGAAACAAGUUCCAAUGACACAAAUUACACUGCGAAAAUUACUCUUUUUCUCGCCAGAUAACUUGAAAUAAUCAUCAUUGUGACAGCUGUAUCUUAUCUUGCUGACCUGUGAUAAUUUAUGAACAUUACGGAACUGAGGCCGACAUUAUUAUUUAUAAAGUGUGCUCGAAUCGUUACAUAAUUUGCGCUAAUGACUUAAUACGGUAUAUAUGGGGUCAGUAAAUUCCAUAUGGGAUGAGAACGAAUGUUCUGUCCCCAUAUAUAUCGUAUAACGCCACUAGCACACUAUGUAGCGAAUUUAUCUUACCGACUUUUUUUGAAAUGUGGUAUUUAGACUAGUGAGCAAGUCUUCAAUAGUGUUAGAAUUAAGAUAAAAUUAAGAAUGGAAAUGGGGAAUGUACUUCCCUUAGUCUAAACAAGAACAAAUGCCAACACUAACAACUUGUUAGCUUUAAAUGUGUUUUAUGAAUUCAUUUCAAUCUUUCAUCAUCGAUUUCUUUGUUUUUUUUUAAAUCUUUCAGAUCUUUUCCAAGUAUCGUUUUGUUUUUAUACAGAAACGUAACACCACGUCUAACCGUGUAUUGAAAUAAACACGGUCUCCACGCGGUUGCUUUUAACCAAUCGCAUUCCUAGAAAUGUAUAGGACGUAAUAUAAAUUAUUCCCCCCCUUUAAUGACGAACCGCGUAUAAGGCUUUUCAUAUGGUACGAAUUUGUAUUUUUUCCCGCUUCUAUUUUCUGCAUACAUCCCAAAUCCCGUUUUUUGACCCAAGUUAUCCCACAUUCAAAAGUGUAUCACCCCUUUACAAAGACGCUUGAUUAUUAACUUCAUCUUAUCUGAUUUGUAAUGUGUUUCAAACGUGUACCUACUUAAAUUCAUUUUGUAUAAUCAUUUAAAUAUGAAAAAAAAAUACAUGUUUGUAUCUACAU
RNAcentral lists this long non-coding RNA (1964 nucleotides) under Mytilus galloprovincialis (Mediterranean mussel). Lineage: Eukaryota; Metazoa; Mollusca; Bivalvia; Mytilida; Mytilidae. The record is from RNAcentral.